This is a long non-coding RNA of Mus musculus (house mouse), 903 nucleotides long. RefSeq annotates it as predicted gene, 52049. Lineage: Eukaryota; Metazoa; Chordata; Mammalia; Rodentia; Muridae. The transcript has 3 exons. The record is from RefSeq and is a predicted model, not a curated record.
CUCCUGGCAUCUGAUCUCCAAGAUGACCAGAAAUAGUGAUGAUACACUAUGAGUUCUAUCAUUUGCUUCUGGAUCCAGAACAAAGUGGCAGUUAUGAAGACAAACUUUUAGAGACAGCUGCUUGUGUCGAUGAGAUGAGUUCUAGAAAAAGCCUAUGAAACCAUGAGUGGGGGUCUUCCAGAUGAAAGCAAGCUUUCCCGGAGAAAGUCGAAGCUGUUACGCCUCCUAGGGACUAGUCUCAGAUGUCACUUAGACUAUUCUAUUGGGGAUCUGUUACUGUGGCGGACAUCAAGGACGCAGGUACACAGGAUGAGGUUCCUGAGAGGGACUGAGGAUACACUGUCUACACUGGCAAGUUGAACUUCCUGCUGUUGACAAAGCUAACAGAGAAACCUUAAGGGACUACUUCUAAUGUUUCUUGAUAAGAAUUAUGUUAACAUCGGUCUCUAUGGAUACUCUUCCCAGUUAAACUUUCCCCUUCUUAUAAUUUCUGAGUAGUAUUAAUCAGUGCCUGGUAGGUAGACUUAUUGAGUUUGAAUUAUAUGUAUGUGAAUUUUAUUAUUUUUCUGCAUCUAUUAGAAUACUUUUUGCUUUAUAGUACUUACUUACUUACUUACUUUAAUCCCAAGUGCUGGGAUUAAAGGCGUGGGCCACCACUGCCCAGCCUCUCAUUUGUUUCUUGAGAACACAAUCUCACUUUGUUAACUUUAGCUGACUGGUACUAUGUAACCCAGAGAGACCUUGAACUCUUAGCAAUCCUUUUGUCUUAGCCUCCUGACCUAUGGGAUAAGAGAGUGAGCCAACAUGCCUGGCAACUGUCUUUCAAAAUACAUCUGCUAUAAAGAUUUCCUUUUCCUUUCCCAGAUUAUUUAUCUAGGAAUAGAGACGACGACUACUUCUUCU